UACGUAGGGGCCUAGCGUUGUCCGGAUUUAUUGGGCGUAAAGAGCUCGUAGGCGGUUCGGUAAGUCAGGUGUGAAAUCUCCACGCUCAACGUGGAGGCGCCACCUGAAACUGCCGUGACUCGAGUCCGGUAGGGGAGUGUGGAAUUCCCGGUGUAGCGGUGAAAUGCGUAGAUAUCUGGAGGAACACCGGUGGCGAAGGCGGCAUCCUGGACCGACAUUGACGCUGAGGCGCGAAAGCCAGGGGAGCAAACGGG
RNAcentral lists this ribosomal RNA (254 nucleotides) under uncultured bacterium. RNAcentral's name for it is "partial 16S ribosomal RNA". It matches the Rfam family "Bacterial small subunit ribosomal RNA", at positions 524 to 776 of the family's 1533-position model. The record is from RNAcentral.